Molecule: non-coding RNA, 4593 nt
Organism: Varroa destructor (honeybee mite)
Lineage: Eukaryota; Metazoa; Arthropoda; Arachnida; Mesostigmata; Varroidae
Source: RefSeq, a predicted model, not a curated record
UAAAAAUUUCUGCACUUCCGCGUUACCAAACGAGCUGCACAUAGUAACAGAUACGAUAAUGGAGAGAAAAACAAUGCUAAUCUAACUCUAAAAUAGUUUAGUCCGUCGGAAGGCGCGCUGUCUUGUCAUUUAGCUUCGUAACCCCAGGGGUAAUUCUGUGAUCAGUAUCGCCAUAAUGAACCCGUUGCAGGAUGUCGCUAUUAAGGCGAACAUUAUUCUAAAUCUCGUUUAUAGCGGUCUGAGCUUCAUCUGAAUUGCUUUAGUGAACGAAGUACCUCUCGUUAUCGGUUGCAAUAAUUUGACGAUAACGGUGCUUUGCCGUCAAUUUCGUACUAUGCCUUGAUGCUAUUAUAAAAAGCUUACGCCAAACAAACAUUUUAUAUGGUAAGAUUUGUUUAGGAGAUCGAAGUCGAAGACAUGCUCGUCCCUACCGCUACUAUAACGUAUGUACAGGGGGAAUUUAAUAGUAAAGUAGACAAUUAAUUGAAUAUAGAAGUUGUAUAUCUCACCAAAUGCUUUCUCUCUCUGUCCCUGCCUCUUGCUCUCUUUACCCUCGACGUUUGCUUCCUAUGUUUACUAUGACUCCGACCCCGUCUCUCCUCUUUCUAUGUGUUUCGAUGUCUUUCGCAACAUUUGUUUGGUUUUUCAGAUUGGCUCCGCCUAGGCAUCCAGCUUGGGGUGGCCAUAUAUUCGUACGCCGGGUAGAACCAUUAAACUGCCUUCCUCAUUGCGUUUGUACUGUAUCAUCACCAUCACCACAAGCACUGACCCCAAUCAGCAUCAGCUUGCUCCUCAUUCAGUCGUAUUUUACCGUCAUUGACAUGCGGAUGACGUUCUAUUUAUAAAGCAUCAGCCCUAUACAAAGCACGCUUGGCUUCAGCAGCAGCCACAAGCACAGGUAAACAACAGCUCGUAGCAGUGAACGAGGUAAUUGAUCAUGUCACAGCCAGUGGAGAUCCGGGUAAAGGGUUACAUAUACCCCUAGCGAAAAAUAGACGGCAGCAGAAAACAUCGAAAUCUCAUGCGGAACCGAAGCAACAAUUGUCGGUAGGAGAAGAACUUUCAGCGGAAGAAAUCGCAUUGGUGGAUCCACCAAGUGUUCUUCUACCUGUAACUGUAGUAAGUGGAGAUGAUGUUAUUGUACUUCCGGAAGGUGAAAGCGAACGGCUGCGUGCGAAUGCUUCAGACGCCUUUGCAAACGAAGCGAUGCCCGACGAAGCUUCAUCUGUGACAAUUAAUGCAACAGCUGAUGAUGAUCUAACUAAGACGAAUGAUAGAACGUUUCCGUUGUUGUAUUUUAUCAAGGGCAUCAAAAAAGGAUGGUCCAGUCACACUAGUAUAGUCCAUGAAAGCAUAAAGCACAUUCACAAACUGCACGACAGUCUUCAGCCUAAACUACAUGACCUGGUCAAGGCCCAUCUAAAGGGAGGAGCUGCAGAUAAUGUAUGCCCUGUUGUUCGAGUCUACCAUAAACAUUGCGGUAGACCCUGUUCGACUCACAAACACUGCAAAGACCCACACUACGCAUGCUGCAGGGUAAUCUGCGACGAUCCUUGGGAGAAACAUUCUUUCAAAAGGGGACUGUAUUGUCACCGAAUGGUUGAAGGUAAAUGGAUGUUCGAUCACUCAGAUCCCCCACAGGAUUCCCUCCCAUGGGGUGGUGAACACUGGGGUUGGGAUUCUGGGCUCUCGAUACUGGAAAUGCUUAUGAAGCAACACAAGAAUAAGGCGCCACAUCAUGAUUCGCUUGGAGAUAAGAAGGUUUUUCUCAUUGGUUAACCCGUAGACGAUUCUUUUCUUAAUUAUAUACCAGUGUUUCAAACACAGUCUAUUAGCAUGAAUCAAAUUGAAAUUUUUUUCGAAAGACUGUCUCCAUCAUAUAUUAUGAUUAGCUUGCUAUAUAAAUCAUUGAGCUCUAGAGUGUUCCAAACGUAGCAGUUAUCGGUAAAGCAUAUCAUUCAUAUACGGGACCCUUAUACGCUAGCUACUCAACAGCGACAAAUGAUGUGUGUGCGGGCGUGUGUGUGUGUGUGUGUGUGUGUGUGUGUGUCUGACAAAAACAUAACAUUUAUUAUAAACAAGCCUAGCUUAUUUUUUAGAAAAUUUCUUAGCAAACUUGUUGUUUAUAAAAGAGGAGCACAUCUAUAACGGUGAGCUAUGUGAAAAACAACUGCUGAACUAAUAGCGUUUAUAGCGUUUUGAAGUAUUUAUAUAUAUAUAUAUAUAUAUAUAUAAGCUAGCAUAGAUUUGAUCUAGGUAUUAUUUAUUAUCCGGUUAGGUUAUUAGAACCAUUUAUUUAUUCGGUACAUUAUUUAGAAUAUAAUGAAAGUGCUUUAGUACAGUGUAUGAAGUGUGCGUUUGACGGACAACUGUCGUCCGCUAUUUCUAGGAACCGUUUGUGUUGCCACAAAUAGAAUCUAUUGUAUUUGGUAAAUAAACAAAUUAAAUAAAAAAAAUUGUCGGGACGCUUUCACUCCACUUGAUAGAAACAGAAGCAAGCUGCUUUCGUAUUAGUUAAACCUUCCUCCAAUAAUUUUGUAUAUAGUAAUGCUGGUACAACAAAUGUUUUUUGUAUGUACUUAUAUAAUCAUCUGGUAAGUAGAUGCUAUGCUAGUGUCAGAACUGAGAUGAUUCAACAAUUACUCUGUAACGAAAGAGCGUACUUUAUAAUGCGUACGUUUUUUGGUACGUUUUAAUCGUCGCGUGAAAUAGUCAAUGAACACUGGCCCUAGCACGCUUGCAAAACUGACGUUUCUGUACUUUAAUCGCCUGAGCAAUAUUCUUCAAAUCAUUCUUUGUCUUGCAGUUUGCGGAAAGGUGAUUUUUUCAGUAAAUCCCUAAGGGAUAAACGAUAUGCUGCCUUUAUACUCAUCGGUGGACACAACUAGAACUCGAGUAUUGCUCACAUAUUUAGCUAUUUCGGUGACGUCUUUGUUUUCUAUUUUAGUCUGUUCAUUUCGUAGAAGCUGCGUCACACUCAAAAUCUGAAAAUCAAAGUUCUUUCUAGAAGAACCUCAAAUAUCCUAUCAGAACGUAAUCCCUUUGGCGCGACUGCACGGCGCGUGCGGAGUUCCGCAUGUCUCCGAUGUACGUAUCAGCAGAUGAAGACAGUUAUGAUCAUCGCGAAAUAGCUGGACACUCAUCAGAAGUCAGAGGCUUGAGGACAGAAAGGCUUCAAUUGCCUAGAUUGUGCAAGCGUUCAACUGAAGAGAAAACACCGCAUAUCGUGUGCCUUGCCGUACUGCUAAGCGUACUGUCUUUUUGCCUGUUCUAUUUUUUAUAUCGACCAUUAGAGUCAGUAACUGCACAUGAUUGCUCAUGAUGAGGCGUGCGAUCCAUUCACCCAUUCCUCUGUUCGUAGCAGUACCGAUAUAGAACCUGUGAAUAAUUGUGACAAAUGGAAAAAUCAGCACUGAUGAUUAUGGUAACCGCUAUUUGAUUCGUCAUGAAGCUUGUACGUGCAAAUUUUGUAUCGGAAGCUGAAUACCAUGUACUGGAUUGAUAAGCGGCACGUAGGAGCAGAAAAUAGCCUGAAUGAUGAAAGACAUAAAAUAACGUUUCCGUUUCUCGAAAUUGAUCAGGCAGAGUGUUGGCAGAAAUCUGACAUUGUGAAACAGUUAUGGACGAAUUAAACAUGUACUUAGUAAUGUAUUUGAAUGUUUAAUGUUUUGCACGAUAACGUCCGAGUGGAAUGGUAAUAAUGUUUACUAAAAGCACAUUAGCAAAUGUAUUUGAAUAAAAAAAAAAACUGACAAAUUUGAGUAAAGGAUACGCAUAUACAAACGUAGACGCCUACAACUGGGAGUACUGACAUGACGAGACAGGGAAGUCCCAGCUUGUAAGGAGAGUAACCUUAUUUAGCAAGACUGAUGGCAAUCACUCGAAAGUGCCGAUUAUGCAGCGUCUCACGCGUAGAACUUAAAUUGACAGAAGUAUUUACGUUUAGUCGAAAGAAGUACCCCUUAAUUGUCAAUCAGGCUUUAACUUGAAGUUCCUCGAGUUCAUGCUAAAAUGGAAGAGGGUGUACCUGAACGCUUUAAAAAGUUUGGCGCCGAAGGUACCACUGCAGGCCAGCGCGGUGGUUCUUGAUCGAAACAUCACAAUACUACUUUACGAUUCAUUGGGUUACCACGAUCUGUAGCUGGCUUCAAAUUCUGUGUGUUAAAAACAUUGAUUUUGAACUUCAGGAACUGGUUGGCGGUGCACAAAUUGUGUAUUGAUCGGUUGAAUUAUAUAAGCGAACACCUAACAAACAGGAAUGGACGAAAUGUAAAAAAGCAUCGAUGACGGCGACAAAACAAUGUAAUCAUCUGGGUACCGAAAUGGCUCAGGUUGUACCAUUUGGUAUUGUUGAUCCAGGGUGCCUGUUCUGAACGACGUCGCAAUUGAGUAGUACGAUUUUGCCAAUUUUUUUGCCAAAACACAAUGCCACAUCAUCUCUGUGUUUGUUUCAUUCGUACUGCCCAAAACUGUCGGUCCUGCUACGAAUGUACUCGGAAUUCAGUGCUCCUGGUUCUCUCUUAAACAUAUUUAUUUUAAUUUAGGAUCGGGAACAAAAUAAUUAAAAUACAACAAGAACAAGAAGAUACAACA